GAUGAACGCUGGCGGCGUGCUUAACACAUGCAAGUCGAACGGGAAACCUUUUAUUGAAGCUUCGGCAGAUUUAGCUGGUUUCUAGUGGCGGACGGGUGAGUAACGCGUGGGUAACCUGCCCUAUACAGGGGGAUAACAACCAGAAAUGGUUGCUAAUACCGCAUAAGCGCACAGGGCCGCAUGGUCCGGUGUGAAAAACUCCGGUGGUAUAGGAUGGACCCGCGUUGGAUUAGCCAGUUGGCAGGGUAACGGCCUACCAAAGCGACGAUCCAUAGCCGGCCGGGGAGGGUGAACGGCCACAUUGGGACUGAGACACGGCCCAGACUCCUACGGGAGGCAGCAGUGGGGAAUAUUGCACAAUGGGGGAAAACCUGAUGCAGCGACGCCGCGUGAAGGAAGAAGUAUCUCGGUAUGUAAACUUCUAUCAGCAGGGAAGAUAGUGACGGUACCUGACUAAGAAGCCCCGGCUAACUACGUG
This 478-nucleotide ribosomal RNA is filed under the name uncultured bacterium. RNAcentral's name for it is "partial 16S ribosomal RNA". It matches the Rfam family "Bacterial small subunit ribosomal RNA", at positions 28 to 507 of the family's 1533-position model. The record is from RNAcentral.